UUGUUUCUUUAAAUGAGGACUUGUAUCAACGGCACCACGAGGGUUAUACUGUCUCCUUUCUCUAAUCAGUGAAACUGAUCUCUCCGUGAAGAAGCGGGGAUACUCCUAUAAGACGAAAAGACCCCAUGGAGCUUCAAACCCAACUACACCCUUAACUACCACAACCGCACAACCUCUUAGGGCCCUGUAUAGUUGGUUUUAGGUUGGGGCGACCACGGAGUACAACCAAACCUCCGCAAUGGACGGGACCACUCCCUUAUCU
This 262-nucleotide ribosomal RNA is filed under the name Mantidactylus opiparis. RNAcentral's name for it is "partial 16S ribosomal RNA". It matches the Rfam family "Bacterial large subunit ribosomal RNA", at positions 1969 to 2332 of the family's 2925-position model. The record is from RNAcentral. Lineage: Eukaryota; Metazoa; Chordata; Amphibia; Anura; Mantellidae.